Molecule: ribosomal RNA, 276 nt
Filed under: uncultured Pseudomonas sp.
Lineage: Bacteria; Pseudomonadati; Pseudomonadota; Gammaproteobacteria; Pseudomonadales; Pseudomonadaceae
Description: partial 16S ribosomal RNA
Rfam family: Bacterial small subunit ribosomal RNA
Source: RNAcentral
UUAGUUACCAGCACGUAUGGUGGGCGACUCUAAGGAGGACUGCCGGUGACAAACCGGACGGAAGGUGGGGAGUGACGUCAAGUCAUCAUGGCCCUUACGGCCUGGGCUACACACGUGCUACAAUGGUCGGUACAAAGGGUUGCCAAGCCGCGAGGUGGAGCUAAUCCCAUAAAACCGAAUCGUAGUCCGGAUCGCAGUCUGCAACUCGACUGCGUGAAGUCGGAAUCGCUAGUAAUCGUGAAUCAGAAUGUCACGGUGAAUACGUUCCCGGGCCUU